GGAGAGGAAAGUCCGGGCUCCUUAGGGCGCGGUGGUGGGUAACGCCCACCGUUCGUGAGAACCGGGACAGUGCCACAGAAAAGAUACCGCCGGUCGAUGUUGCACCCGGGGUUCGCCUCGGAAGGCUAAGGCCGGUAAGGGUGAAAUGGUGCGGUAAGAGCGCACCGCAAUGGGGGUGACCUCAUUGGCAAGGUAAACCCCACCGGGAGCAAGACCAAGCAGGGGGAAGUGCGGCGACGGGCAACCGAAACCGCCGCGGAUUGGCCCGAUCCGUUCGACCUCCGGGUGUGUUGCUGGAGGCGGCGAGCAAUCGUCGCCCUAGAGAAAUGACCGUCCGCGACAAAACCCGGCUUAUCGACCCACUCCGCCU
RNAcentral lists this RNase P RNA (370 nucleotides) under Planctomycetaceae bacterium. RNAcentral describes it as "partial RNase P RNA component class A". It matches the Rfam family "Bacterial RNase P class A", at positions 40 to 367 of the family's 367-position model. From Rfam's summary of the family: Ribonuclease P (RNase P) is a ubiquitous endoribonuclease, found in archaea, bacteria and eukarya as well as chloroplasts and mitochondria. The record is from RNAcentral. Lineage: Bacteria; Pseudomonadati; Planctomycetota; Planctomycetia; Planctomycetales; Planctomycetaceae.